This 345-nucleotide unclassified non-coding RNA is filed under the name soil metagenome. Its description in RNAcentral is "partial contains 5.8S ribosomal RNA, internal transcribed spacer 2, and large subunit ribosomal RNA". The stretch from base 1 to 120 matches the Rfam family "5.8S ribosomal RNA", at positions 35 to 154 of the family's 154-position model. The record is from RNAcentral.
GAUGAAGAAGGCAGCGAAAUGCGAUACGUAAUGUGAAUUGCAGAAUUCAGUGAAUCAUCGAGUCUUUAAACGCACAUUGCGCCCCCUGGUAUUCCGGGGGGCAUGCCUGUCCGAGCGUCAUUGCUGCCCUCAAGCACGGCUUGUGUGUUGGGCCUCCGUCCUCCUCCCGGGGGACGGGCCCGAAAGGCAGCGGCGGCACCGCGUCCGGUCCUCGAGCGUAUGGGGCUUCGUCACCCGCUCUUGUAGGCCCGGCCGGCGCUUGCCGACACAUCAAUCUUUUUUCCAGGUUGACCUCGGAUCAGGUAGGGAUACCCGCUGAACUUAAGCAUAUCAAUAAGCGGAGGA